GCGGAAGUAGUUAAGUGGUAGAAUGCAACCUUGCCAAGGUUGUGACCCGGGUCCGAUUCCCGGUUUCCGCA
This 71-nucleotide transfer RNA is filed under the name Candidatus Pacearchaeota archaeon. Its description in RNAcentral is "tRNA-Gly". It matches the Rfam family "tRNA". Rfam says of the family: Transfer RNA (tRNA) molecules are approximately 80 nucleotides in length. Their secondary structure includes four short double-helical elements and three loops (D, anti-codon, and T loops). Lineage: Archaea; Nanobdellati. The record is from RNAcentral.